GAAAUGCGAUAAGUAAUGUGAAUUGCAGAAUUCAGUGAAUCAUCGAAUCUUUGAACGCACAUUGCGCCCGCCAGUAUUCUGGCGGGCAUGCCUGUCCGAGCGUCAUUUCAACCAUCAAGCCCCCGGGCUUGUGUUGGGGACCUGCGGCUGCCCGCAGGCCCUGAAAACCAGUGGCGGGCUCGCUGUCACACCGAGCGUAGUAGCAAUCACCUCGCUCAGGGCGUGCUGCGGGUUCCGGCCGUUAAACAGCCUUACAAAACCCAAGGUUGACCUCGGAUCAGGUAGGAAGACCCGCUGCACUUAGGC
This 306-nucleotide unclassified non-coding RNA is filed under the name plant metagenome. RNAcentral describes it as "partial contains 5.8S ribosomal RNA, internal transcribed spacer 2, and large subunit ribosomal RNA". The stretch from base 1 to 105 matches the Rfam family "5.8S ribosomal RNA", at positions 50 to 154 of the family's 154-position model. The record is from RNAcentral.